GGACCCGCACAAGCGGUGGGGCAUGUGGUUUAAUUCGAUGCAACGCGAAGAACCUUACCAGGGCUUGAAUCCCUAUCGUAGAACUUGUAAUGAGUUCGUCAGUUCGGCUGGAUAGGUGACAGGUGCUGCAUGGCUGUCGUCAGCUCGUGUCGUGAGAUGUUGGGUUAAGUCCCGCAACGAGCGCAACCCUUGUCUUUAGUUGCCAACGAGUAAUGUCGGGAACUCUAGAGAUACUGCCACUGAUAAAGUGGAGGAAGGUGGGGAUAACGUCAAGUCAUCAUGGCCCUUACGCCCUGGGCUACACACGUGCUACAAUGGUUACUACAAUGAGAAGCCAGCCAGUGAUGGUGAGCAAAUCUAAAAAAGUAAUCCCAGUUCGGAUUGUAGUCUGCAACUCGACUACAUGAAGUCGGAAUCGCUAGUAAUCG
This 428-nucleotide ribosomal RNA is filed under the name uncultured bacterium. Its description in RNAcentral is "bacterial SSU rRNA". It matches the Rfam family "Bacterial small subunit ribosomal RNA", at positions 917 to 1344 of the family's 1533-position model. The record is from RNAcentral.